This 49-nucleotide ribosomal RNA is filed under the name Sphaerulina musiva. RNAcentral's name for it is "partial small subunit ribosomal RNA". It matches the Rfam family "Eukaryotic small subunit ribosomal RNA", at positions 1778 to 1826 of the family's 1831-position model. The record is from RNAcentral. Lineage: Eukaryota; Fungi; Ascomycota; Dothideomycetes; Mycosphaerellales; Mycosphaerellaceae. RNAcentral also lists the same sequence under 3 other names.
GGAAGUAAAAGUCGUAACAAGGUCUCCGUAGGUGAACCUGCGGAGGGAU